Molecule: ribosomal RNA, 115 nt
Filed under: Danio rerio (zebrafish)
Lineage: Eukaryota; Metazoa; Chordata; Actinopteri; Cypriniformes; Danionidae
Source: RNAcentral
ACCGGCAUCUAGCUGUCUGCAACUCUCAUAAUGUCGCCCAUUGAAGCUAAGCAGGGCUGUGCCUGAUCAGUACCUGGAUGGGAGACUACAAGGGAAAACUAGGUUGCUGCCGGAA